RNAcentral lists this transfer RNA (72 nucleotides) under Marmota monax (woodchuck). RNAcentral's name for it is "tRNA.Undet". The record is from RNAcentral. Lineage: Eukaryota; Metazoa; Chordata; Mammalia; Rodentia; Sciuridae.
UGGGUUGUAUCUCAGUGGUAGAUCUCUUGCCUAGCAUGUGUCAAGCACUGGGUUCAAUUCUCAGCAAUGCAU